Molecule: long non-coding RNA, 20752 nt
Organism: Musca domestica (house fly)
Lineage: Eukaryota; Metazoa; Arthropoda; Insecta; Diptera; Muscidae
Exons: 3
Source: RefSeq, a predicted model, not a curated record
UUUACUAAUUUUAAUAGGUUUUAGAGAUUAGGAACAAAUCACCCAUUUUUGUAUAAGAUCAAUGUCUUUUUUACACGGUUUUUUUUACACGGCUUCUUCUGGAACCAAUCUACCGUGUAAAAACAGACUUAGGUGUACAUAUAAAUUAUUCAACUUUUUAUAGUUUGGGCGGAUAUGGUCGAUUUUGGGCGGUUUUUAGAAAAAAAUUGGGCUGAAAUAAAAAUUUCAAACGGCAACACUGCGUGUGAAUCAAAAAACUGAACGAAAGGGGGAAACGACAAGCGUUGCCGUAUCAAAGCGAAAUAAGUUAUUGUUCAGUGGGAAAUUUAAUACUGUUUUUAUCAACGUGGGUUGUCAGCCAUUUAGUGAGGCUAGUAUCGUCCAUGUAGAUGUAAACAAAAUAAUGGUGAUUCGUUGAUGUGUAUGUUACCCAAAAUGUCGUGGAAAGUUGGGAAAAAUGGUGGAAAAUUCACUGCCCUAUAAAAGGCACUAUGCAGAAAAGAGCGAUAGUAGUUGUGCAGUAACCGCCAUAGAGUGCCGGCUUGAUCUUCAAAGUUUCGAGAUAAAUUAAUAUUAUUUGUGCAGCCAAUUUGUGGUUGUGGCCGUUGUGUGGUGUUCUUUUAUAUUUAUUUUGUGGAAAUAAGGACCAAAAAUUUCCGAACGAAAUCACCAACAUAACUGGCCUCAAACAUCCCAAAAGUGGGGCCAGUGCAUUUGUCUUUUGCCCACUAUUUCAACUGUGGUUGUGGCAGCAACUUACUGAGAAGCCUCAUCCUUUGUACCAAGAAACGAAUAGAAAUUCCGGCAGUGUCAGCCUUUCCCACAAAUUGACAGUCACUGCAAUACCCGUGUGUUAGAUUGCGGAAAUGUAUGUGUAGGUAAUGCCAGUUGCCGCACAUUCAAGGUGGAGCACAAGAUUGUGGAAUAGGAGCAGUAUUGUUCCAGAAAGGCGAUAAUGAUGAAGAGUUCCCCAUAGCCUCUUACUCCCAGAAUCUAAACAGUUGCCAAAAGAACUACAGCGUGACUGAAAAGGAGUGUCUGACGGCCGUUAUGGCUGUGAAAAUGUUCAGACCUUAUGUAGAACUAAUGAAAUUCACAGUCAUAACGGAAAUGGCUAAUGCAUGUAAAAGACUUGAGUGGGAGACCCGCCAGAUGGAGUUUAAUGUUGCAGGGGUAUAACUUCGAAAAUGAGCAUCAAAAAGGCAAGGAUAAUGUGGUGGCAGACACGCUAUCCCGCUUUGAAGUCGUCGAGGAAUAUGAUGUGGUCGAUGACUUAUUUCGAAACAACAGAAUUUGAAAGUCCAGAAUAUAAAAAUUUAAUAGAAGAAAUACAGAAAAACCAACAUAAAUUGCCUGAUAUAAAAAUAGAAAACGGUUACAUUUUCAAACGCACAAAACCAGAAACUGAAUUGAAUUCUGUUGAACUGCCUUGCAAGCUUUGAAUCCCAGACAGAUUAACCCAUUUGUUAAUCGAAAAGGCACAUGAUGAGCUAACCUCAGCUCAUGGCGGCAUAGCUAAGAUGCUGCACCGCCUGCAAAUAUUUUAUUAUUGGCCGAAAAUGGUACAACAGGUGAAGCAGUAUAUAUAUUCAACUGCCAAACAUGUAAAGAAACGAAACCUGUCAAUAGAAAUACACGACCGACAAUAGGUUGUGAAGUCGUAACAGAACGCCCAUUUCAAAAAUCUUAUAUGGAUUUUUUAGGUAAAUAUCCACGAUCAAAAUCAGGCAAUAGUUAUGUAUUUAUAGUUGAUGAUCACUUUUCCAAAUUUGUGUUUCUAAAAGCUAUGAAAGAAGCUACCACAUCUAAUUUCGUUCAAUUUUUAGUACAAGAGAUAUGUAGAAAAUUCGGAGUUCCUGAGACCAUUCAUACAGAUUGUGGGGCCCAAUUAACAGCUAAAGGAUUCAAGGAAAUGGUUGAAAUGUUUAAGAUCAACCAUAUGCAGACAGCACCCUACUCGCCGCAGUCGAACGCCUCAGAAAGAGUAAACCAGUUCGUACUAGCCGCAAUUCGAGCUUAUUAAGAUGAUGACCAUAGGUAUUGGGAUGUUUACCUAACAGAAAUUGAAUGUGCAUUAAGAUCAUCAAUCCAUACAGCCACUGGUGUAACACCCUUUUUCGCUAUUUUCGGAUACGAAAUGUACACCAACGGCAGUGAUUAUAAACUGGCAAAGAAAUUAAAGGACCUAAAGGGAGUGACGGCAGUUUCCUGCAAAAAAAAAAAAAAAAAUCAUCCAUUAGGAUGUAAUUGUCAACCAAAAAUUGAUAUUUAACCUUAAAACAAAAUUAUAUGUAUUUCGUGUUGAAAUUGUGUUGUCUUUGUGAAUGUCCUAGAGUUUAAGUGAACUCGACUGUGAGGAUUUUUAACGCCAGGAUUUAAUUACAAUUUGUUUCACGAUUGCAGCAAAAGUUUUCUACAGAAGUUUGGGUUAAAUAAUUGGUCACCUUGGCCCAGGAAUAACCAUCUUAAGUGAGCUCUCUUAGGGUAGUCCGUUGGUAGUGAAAUUGCGUGAAUAAAAAGCAUUAGAUUCUCUAGUAAACUUUUUAGAAAGAGUUCUUGAAAAAAAUCAUAGUACUUUUCUCGCUAAACUGGUGUUAGAUAUUCUAUAAAAAGAGAGAAAUAUUAGACAUAACAGAAACAAAAUUAGUUUUAAGAAACCUUUUGUAUCAAUAAAUGUUUUUAAUGUUUAAUUAGUAACAUAAAUAUGUGUGAUCUGAAAUGGACAAUAUGCAUCCGAAUAAAAGCAGAUGCUGGUUGUGCUUCCAUUUACGAGAUCUUUUUUCGGAACAGAAGGGAAAUUGCCGUAAAGACGAAAGUCGAAAUAAAUAUUAAAAGCACGUGUUUUAUUAGUGUUCGUCUUUAACUGUUUUGAUAACCGAAAUGACAUUCUUUAACAAAAUCUAUAUAUAAUUAUUGGACACUCACCUCACAACCCAACGAAAGGAGAGCCCCUAUUUGUUGGAAAUUGUUUUGUUUAAAAGUGUUUUUGUUUUGUGACUAGUUUUUUAUAACCUAUAACCUAACUAGAUAACAUUUUUGUAACAUUUAAUUUUGUUUCUUUUUAUUAUUUUUUUACAACCCAACGAAAGGAGAGCCCCUAUUUGUUGGAAAUUGUUUUGUUUAAAAGUGUUUUUGUUUUGUGACUAGUUUUUUAUAACCUAUAACCUAACUAGAUAACAUUUUUGUAACAUUUAAUUUUGUUUCUUUUUAUUAUUUUUUAUUAAAACAAUUUUAUUGGUGAUUGUAAAAGAAUUCAAAGUUUUCAUUCAAUUAUUGGUGGAAUCAAAAGGCAUUUACCAAUGAGUGAAGAAAACUUAUUUGAAACUAAACGUAGAAGCCAAAGGAACAGCACUUUGUCAUUUGAUGUUAGCAGAUUAUCGGGGCAAACAUUGCCGAAAUAUAGGAAAAGGGAUAAGAUUGGCAAUAUGGUAAAUCCACCUCCUCUUAUUAAUCCAUCCAUACUUGAUAUGUCUCAGACUAUCAGCGCAACUUCUAACCCCAAUUGUAAUACUUCUAAUAUGCUCCCUAAUGGUAAGUCAACUAGUUCUUUUCAUAGUUCCACGCCAGCUAAUGACGAUAUAAACAAUGUUUUGAGGGAAAUGGUAGAUGCCAAUGCACAAAUAAAUUUAAGGCAACUAGUGCAGGAAUGUAUAUGUAUGGAGAUGAAAAAAGUAUAUGAAGCCAUUUGUAAAUUAGGAGACAUAGUAAAGAAUUUGAAUAUUGGCACGAACGCUCCGAGCAAUCAACCUAACAACGCCUCUUUUUCGUUUCCAAAUCCACCUCCCAUAAUCGAACCCAACAGACAUCCAGAGAUGCAAUCGGAAUAAUAGGAUGUUUGCAACUCCCGGUCCCAAUUUGGAUAGACCAAGUAGAAAUUCAAGCUGAAAUUUGAUGGCAAUCCGUCUAGCAUGUCUGUUGGAUACUUUGUGUUUCGACUCGAAUACCUAAAGAACCAAUACAAGGUGUCAUGGGAAGAAAUCUUUGCCGAGUUCCAGUCUACUCGCUGGAGUGGUACUGGUUACAAAUCGACGGUACAGUACGACUCGAUCGAAUUUUGAAGUCAUGAGCUAGAUAGUCUACAGAAAAUUAAAACCAGGAGAAGAUAUCGAUAAUUUUUCCAAUCCAUAAAUACUUUGAGAUCCAGGUUAAUUCAACCCAUAUAGUGGGGAGAGCUUAUUCAGAUCGUAGAAAGAAAUUUAAAGGGAGAAACACUAGUUCUAUGGAACAGCUCAGGAUGGAGUGUAUCUUAGCAGAAAAGACAUGCUCAAAACGUGAAACAAGAUUCAUGCCUUCUCCUCCGAACCGACACGUUAGGGUAAACGAGCUAAAUACCGAUAUUAAUGAUUAUAAAAUAAAUUACUAUGAGGAUGAUCAAGUUCAGGAUGUGUCAUAACUAAAAACCGAUCCAAUCUGUUGAAACUGUAGAAAAACAGGUCAUAGGUUUAUGGACCGUUUAUCCUCACAAAGAUCGUUGUUUUGCUACCGAUGUGGUCAACCCAAUACCGUGGCACCAAAGUGCCCUAGGUGCAAGUCGGAAAACUUAUGCCCGGAUCUUGAGCAAUCAUUGUAUUUAGGAAUAGAUUCCUGGAAAGCGUGCCACUUAGCUCCAGACGUAUUAGAAGUAAAUGAACUCGACAUUGCAAAGAUUCAAGCCAAAUAUGCAGAUGAUAAUGAAUUUAAAAAGAAAAACAUAAUCUUAGUGCCGAUCAAGAGGAAAAACUUAAUCGAGUGAUGAAGAAAUUUCCUGCUUUUGAAAAAAUGGGUCUUGGUCACACCACACUUGAAUAACACACUAUUAAGAUAGUGGAGGGUACAAAUCCUAUUAAGGAUAAACAUUACCCCAUUUCACCAGCUAUGCAACAAAUUGUUUAUGAAGAAUUGGAUAAGAUGAUAGGGCUGAAGUAAUAGAAGAGAGUGAAAGUGCGUGGAACAAUAGGACGACCAUCGCUAGGAAACCCGGAAAGAACCCAUUUUUUGGUUUUUUUUGUUUGGAUGCGCGUAAGUUAAAUGCCGUAACCAUUAAAGACGCGUAUCCAUUACAAAAUAUCGACGGGAUACUAAGUAGAAUUGAUCAGACGGUAUUCAUAAGUAGCGUAGAAUUAAAACAUGCCUUUUGGCAGAUAGAGCUGGAUGAAGAGUCGUGGCCAUAUACGGUUUUUACGGUCCCUGGUCGUCCGCUCUAUCAAUUCAGAAUGAUACCAUUCGGCUUGUGUAAUACCGCACAACGUCUAUGCCGACUUAUGGAUAAGGUCAUACCGGCCCGACUUAAAUCAAACGUAUUCAUAUAUUUGGAUGACUUACUGGUUAUAUCAGAAGAUUUCGAAACUCAUUUGAAAUUAUUAGAACAUGUAGCGGAGUGUCUCAGAAGUGCGAAUCUGACGAUAGGCCUCACCAAGAGUAUGUUCUGUUUUAAAGAGUUGAGGUACUUAGGUUUUAUAAUCGGAGGCGGGGUCCUAAAAACCGAUCCUGACAAAAUACGGUUAGAAAUCUAAAAAUUUCAAGAAGCCCUAGGGAUAUGAGAAGCUUUUUAGGAACAGCGGGCUGGUACCGCCGUUUUAUCAAAAGUUUUGCAAGUAUUUCCGCCCCCUUGACAGACACUUUGAAAAAAAGUAUUACAUUUACCAUAGCUCAAAAGUCAUAGAGGAGCAGUAUUAAAGAAGCUACCACAUCUAAUUUCGUUCAAUUUUUAGUACAAGAGAUAUGUAGAAAAUUCGGAGUUCCUGAGACCAUUCAUACAGAUUGUGGGGCCCAAUUAACAGCUAAAGGAUUCAAGGAAAUGGUUGAAAUGUUUAAGAUCAACCAUAUGCAGACAGCACCCUACUCGCCGCAGUCGAACGCCUCAGAAAGAGUAAACCAGUUCGUACUAGCCGCAAUUCGAGCUUAUUAAGAUGAUGACCAUAGGUAUUGGGAUGUUUACCUAACAGAAAUUGAAUGUGCAUUAAGAUCAUCAAUCCAUACAGCCACUGGUGUAACACCCUUUUUCGCUCUUUUCGGAUACGAAAUGUACACCAACGGCAGUGAUUAUAAACUGGCAAAGAAAUUAAAGGACCUAAAGGGAGUGACGGCAGUUUCCUGCAAAAAAAAAAAAAAAUCAUCCAUUAGGAUGUAAUUGUCAACCAAAAAUUGAUAUUUAACCUUAAAACAAAAUUAUAUGUAUUUCGUGUUGAAAUUGUGUUGUCUUUGUGAAUGUCCUAGAGUUUAAGUGAACUCGACUGUGAGGAUUUUUAACGCCAGGAUUUAAUUACAAUUUGUUUCACGAUUGCAGCAAAAGUUUUCUACAGAAGUUUGGGUUAAAUAAUUGGUCACCUUGGCCCAGGAAUAACCAUCUUAAGUGAGCUCUCUUAGGGUAGUCCGUUGGUAGUGAAAUUGCGUGAAUAAAAAGCAUUAGAUUCUCUAGUAAACUUUUUAGAAAGAGUUCUUGAAAAAAAUCAUAGUACUUUUCUCGCUAAACUGGUGUUAGAUAUUCUAUAAAAAGAGAGAAAUAUUAGACAUAACAGAAACAAAAUUAGUUUUAAGAAACCUUUUGUAUCAAUAAAUGUUUUUAAUGUUUAAUUAGUAACAUAAAUAUGUGUGAUCUGAAAUGGACAAUAUGCAUCCGAAUAAAAGCAGAUGCUGGUUGUGCUUCCAUUUACGAGAUCUUUUUUCGGAACAGAAGGGAAAUUGCCGUAAAGACGAAAGUCGAAAUAAAUAUUAAAAGCACGUGUUUUAUUAGUGUUCGUCUUUAACUGUUUUGAUAACCGAAAUGACAUUCUUUAACAAAAUCUAUAUAUAAUUAUUGGACACUCACCUCACAACCCAACGAAAGGAGAGCCCCUAUUUGUUGGAAAUUGUUUUGUUUAAAAGUGUUUUUGUUUUGUGACUAGUUUUUUAUAACCUAUAACCUAACUAGAUAACAUUUUUGUAACAUUUAAUUUUGUUUCUUUUUAUUAUUUUUUUACAACCCAACGAAAGGAGAGCCCCUAUUUGUUGGAAAUUGUUUUGUUUAAAAGUGUUUUUGUUUUGUGACUAGUUUUUUAUAACCUAUAACCUAACUAGAUAACAUUUUUGUAACAUUUAAUUUUGUUUCUUUUUAUUAUUUUUUAUUAAAACAAUUUUAUUGGUGAUUGUAAAAGAAUUCAAAGUUUUCAUUCAAUUAUUGGUGGAAUCAAAAGGCAUUUUCCAAUGAGUGAAGAAAACUUAUUUGAAACUAAACGUAGAAGCCAAAGGAACAGCACUUUGUCAUUUGAUGUUAGCAGAUUAUCGGGGCAAACAUUGCCGAAAUAUAGGAAAAGGGAUAAGAUUGGCAAUAUGGUAAAUCCACCUCCUCUUAUUAAUCCAUCCAUACUUGAUAUGUCUCAGACUAUCAGCGCAACUUCUAACCCCAAUUGUAAUACUUCUAAUAUGCUCCCUAAUGGUAAGUCAACUAGUUCUUUUCAUAGUUCCACGCCAGCUAAUGACGAUAUAAACAAUGUUUUGAGGGAAAUGGUAGAUGCCAAUGCACAAAUAAAUUUAAGGCAACUAGUGCAGGAAUGUAUAUGUAUGGAGAUGAAAAAAGUAUAUGAAGCCAUUUGUAAAUUAGGAGACAUAGUAAAGAAUUUGAAUAUUGGCACGAACGCUCCGAGCAAUCAACCUAACAACGCCUCUUUUUCGUUUCCAAAUCCACCUCCCAUAAUCGAACCCAACAGACAUCCAGAGAUGCAAUCGGAAUAAUAGGAUGUUUGCAACUCCCGGUCCCAAUUUGGAUAGACCAAGUAGAAAUUCAAGCUGAAAUUUGAUGGCAAUCCGUCUAGCAUGUCUGUUGGAUACUUUGUGUUUCGACUCGAAUACCUAAAGAACCAAUACAAGGUGUCAUGGGAAGAAAUCUUUGCCGAGUUCCAGUCUACUCGCUGGAGUGGUACUGGUUACAAAUCGACGGUACAGUACGACUCGAUCGAAUUUUGAAGUCAUGAGCUAGAUAGUCUACAGAAAAUUAAAACCAGGAGAAGAUAUCGAUAAUUUUUCCAAUCCAUAAAUACUUUGAGAUCCAGGUUAAUUCAACCCAUAUAGUGGGGAGAGCUUAUUCAGAUCGUAGAAAGAAAUUUAAAGGGAGAAACACUAGUUCUAUGGAACAGCUCAGGAUGGAGUGUAUCUUAGCAGAAAAGACAUGCUCAAAACGUGAAACAAGAUUCAUGCCUUCUCCUCCGAACCGAUACGUUAGGGUAAACGAGCUAAAUACCGAUAUUAAUGAUUAUAAAAUAAAUUACUAUGAGGAUGAUCAAGUUCAGGAUGUGUCAUAACUAAAAACCGAUCCAAUCUGUUGAAACUGUAGAAAAACAGGUCAUAGGUUUAUGGACCGUUUAUCCUCACAAAGAUCGUUGUUUUGCUACCGAUGUGGUCAACCCAAUACCGUGGCACCAAAGUGCCCUAGGUGCAAGUCGGAAAACUUAUGCCCGGAUCUUGAGCAAUCAUUGUAUUUAGGAAUAGAUUCCUGGAAAGCGUGCCACUUAGCUCCAGACGUAUUAGAAGUAAAUGAACUCGACAUUGCAAAGAUUCAAGCCAAAUAUGCAGAUGAUAAUGAAUUUAAAAAGAAAAACAUAAUCUUAGUGCCGAUCAAGAGGAAAAACUUAAUCGAGUGAUGAAGAAAUUUCCUGCUUUUGAAAAAAUGGGUCUUGGUCACACCACACUUGAAUAACACACUAUUAAGAUAGUGGAGGGUACAAAUCCUAUUAAGGAUAAACAUUACCCCAUUUCACCAGCUAUGCAACAAAUUGUUUAUGAAGAAUUGGAUAAGAUGAUAGGGCUGAAGUAAUAGAAGAGAGUGAAAGUGCGUGGAACAAUAGGACGACCAUCGCUAGGAAACCCGGGAAGAACCCAUUUUUUGGUUUUUUUUUGUUUGGAUGCGCGUAAGUUAAAUGCCGUAACCAUUAAAGACGCGUAUCCAUUACAAAAUAUCGACGGGAUACUAAGUAGAAUUGAUCAGACGGUAUUCAUAAGUAGCGUAGAAUUAAAACAUGCCUUUUGGCAGAUAGAGCUGGAUGAAGAGUCGUGGCCAUAUACGGUUUUUACGGUCCCUGGUCGUCCGCUCUAUCAAUUCAGAAUGAUACCAUUCGGCUUGUGUAAUACCGCACAACGUCUAUGCCGACUUAUGGAUAAGGUCAUACCGGCCCGACUUAAAUCAAACGUAUUCAUAUAUUUGGAUGACUUACUGGUUAUAUCAGAAGAUUUCGAAACUCAUUUGAAAUUAUUAGAACAUGUAGCGGAGUGUCUCAGAAGUGCGAAUCUGACGAUAGGCCUCACCAAGAGUAUGUUCUGUUUUAAAGAGUUGAGGUACUUAGGUUUUAUAAUCGGAGGCGGGGUCCUAAAAACCGAUCCUGACAAAAUACGGUUAGAAAUCUAAAAAUUUCAAGAAGCCCUAGGGAUAUGAGAAGCUUUUUAGGAACAGCGGGCUGGUACCGCCGUUUUAUCAAAAGUUUUGCAAGUAUUUCCGCCCCCUUGACAGACACUUUGAAAAAAAGUAUUACAUUUACCAUAGCUCAAAAGUCAUAGAGGCUUUCGAGAACUGAAAAUAGCGCUGACCACAGCUCCAGUACUUAAGCUUCCAGAUUUUUCAAAAUAAUUUUUUAUACAAUGUGAUUCUUCAGAUUGUGGAAUAGGAGCAGUAUUGUUCCAGAAAGGCGAUAAUGAUGAAGAGUUCCCCAUAGCCUCUUACUCCCAGAAGCUAAACAGUUGCCAAAAGAACUACAGCGUGACUGAAAAGGAGUGUCUGACGGCCGUUAUGGCUGUGAAAAUGUUCAGACCUUAUGUAGAACUAAUGAAAUUCACAGUCAUAACGGAAAUGGCUAAUGGAUGUAAAAGACUUGAGUGGGAGACCCGCCAGAUGGAGUUUAAUGUUGCAGGGGUAUAACUUCGAAAAUGAGCAUCAAAAAGGCAAGGAUAAUGUGGUGGCAGACACGCUAUCCCGCCUUGAAGUCGUCGAGGAAUAUGAUGUGGUCGAUGACUUAUUUCGAAACAACAGAAUUUGAAAGUCCAGAAUAUAAAAAUUUAAUAGAAGAAAUACAGAAAAACCAACAUAAAUUGCCUGAUUAAAAAAUAGAAAACGGUUACAUUUUCAAACGCACAAAACCAGAAACUGAAUUGAAUUCUGUUGAACUGCCUUGCAAGCUUUGAAUCCCAGACAGAUUAACCCAUUUGUUAAUCGAAAAGGCACAUGAUGAGCUAACCUCAGCUCAUGGCGGCAUAGCUAAGAUGCUGCACCGCCUGCAAAUAUUUUAUUAUUGGCCGAAAAUGGUACAACAGGUGAAGCAGUAUAUAUAUUCAACUGCCAAACAUGUAAAGAAACGAAACCUGUCAAUAGAAAUACACGACCGACAAUAGGUUGUGAAGUCGUAACAGAACGCUCAUUUCAAAAAUCUUAUAUGGAUUUUUUAGGUAAAUAUCCACGAUCAAAAUCAGGCAAUAGUUAUGUAUUUAUAGUUGAUGAUCACUUUUCCAAAUUUGUGUUUCUAAAAGCCAUGAAAGAAGCUACCACAUCUAAUUUCGUUCAAUUUUUAGUACAAGAGAUAUGUAGAAAAUUCGGAGUUCCUGAGACCAUUCAUACAGAUUAUGGGGCCCAAUUAACAGCUAAAGGAUUCAAGGAAAUGGUUGAAAUGUUUAAGAUCAACCAUAUGCAGACAGCACCCUACUCGCCGCAGUCGAACGCCUCAGAAAGAGUAAACCAGUUCGUACUAGCCGCAAUUCGAGCUUAUUAAGAUGAUGACCAUAGGUAUUGGGAUGUUUACCUAACACAAAUUGAAUGUGCAUUAAGAUCAUCAAUCCAUACAGCCACUGGUGUAACACUCUUUUUCGCUCUUUUCGGAUACGAAAUGUACACCAACGGCAGUGAUUAUAAACUGGCAAAGAAAUUAAAGGACCUAAAGGGAGUGACGGCAGUUUCCUGCAAAAAAAAAAAUCAUCCAUUAGGAUGUAAUUGUCAACCAAAAAUUGAUAUUUAACCUUAAAACAAAAUUCUAUGUAUUUCGUGUUGAAAUUGUGUUGUCUUUGUGAAUGUCCUAGAGUUUAAGUGAACUCGACUGUGAGGAUUUUUAACGCCAGGAUUUAAUUACAAUUUGUUUCACGAUUGCAGCAAAAGUUUUCUACAGAAGUUUGGGUUAAAUAAUUGGUCACCUUGGCCCAGGAAUAACCAUCUUAAGUGAGCUCUCUUACGGUAGUCCGUUGGUAGUGAAAUUGCGUGAAUAAAAAGCAUUAGAUUCUCUAGUAAACUUUUUAGGAAGAGUUCUUGAAAAAAAUCAUAGUACUUUUCUCGCUAAACUGGUGUUAGAUAUUCCAUAAAAAGAGAGAAAUAUUAGAAAUAACAGAAACAAAAUUAGUUUUAAGAAACCUUUUGUAUCAAUAAAUGUUUUUAAUGUUUAAUUAGUAACAUAAAUAUGUGUGAUCUGUUUGUAAGAGGGGGUUUCCCUCGAGGUAAGGUAAUGAGAUGAGUUUGUGUGUCUUGUGGGGUUUCCAGUAAAUUUAAAUAUGGAAAUUUGGAGACCAUGGAAGGGCGGGCGAAUGUGGGAAUAAAGACAUCAAUAUUCCCGUUUGUUUGUAAAUUUUUUUGUGUCGCUUCUUGUUCUCAUUUAAAAAAAAAUAAAUAAAUAUGUUCGCCCUGAGGUGUUAGACAUGGAUGGUUGAGAACCGAGACCCUGAGCCCGCGAGCAAGUCGGAUGGUUCAUUCUAGCCCCGCCACAUUGGGGAAUGUAACAGAUGGCGCCCAAUCUUAAAAAAUAUGUUCAUUUAGAACCGAGAUUAGGAUUUUUUGUGCAAUACCAACUACGUGCAAUAAAAUAGACCAUAGGGAAAGUCAUAGUAAUAAGUAUUAUAGCAAAAUUCUUAGGCCUGACUGAUAUUGAGCCAUGUUUUUUUGUUGAAAACAUGUUAAUGUGCAAUAUUAGUUUUAAGGUAAAAUAGGAUAUUUAGUAUAAUACUUCCAUAAUAUUAAAAACGGUCAAUGCAAUAACUUGUAUAACAAUGUAUGUAUUGUGAGUGACCUGUCUUUUGUGUUUUGGUUCCAUUAAGUAGCUGCAACAGUUAGAAUUUUCUACGAAGGGAAAUGGACAAUAUGCAUCCGAAAAAAAGCAGAUGCUGGUUGUGCUUCCAUUUACGAGAUCUUUUUUCGGAACAGAAGGGAAAUUGCCGUAAAGACGAAAGUCGAAAGAAAUAUUAAACGCACGUGUUUUAUUAGUGUUCGUCUUUAACUGUUUUGAUAACCGAAAUGACAUUCUUUAACAAAAUCUAUAUAUAAUUAUUAGACACACACCUCACAACCCAACGAAAGGAGAACCCCUAUUUGUUGGAAAUUGUUUUGUUUAAAAGUGUUUUUGUUUUGUGACUAGUUUUUUAUAACCUAUAACCUAACUAGAUAACAUUUUUGUAACAUUUAAUUUUGUUUCUUUUUAUUAUUUUUUAUUAAAACAAUUUUAUUGGUGAUUGUAAAAGAAUUCAAAGUUUUCAUUCAAUUAUUGGUGGAAUCAAAAGGCAUUUACCAAUGAGUGAAGAAAACUUAUUUGAAACUAAACGUAGAAGCCAAAGGAACAGCACUUUGUCAUUUGAUGUUAGCAGAUUAUCGGGGCAAACAUUGCCGAAAUAUAGGAAAAGGGAUAAGAUUGGCAAUAUGGUAAAUCCACCUCCUCUUAUUAAUCCAUCCAUACUUGAUAUGUCUCAGACUAUCAGCGCAACUUCUAACCCCAAUUGUAAUACUUCUAAUAUGCUCCCUAAUGGUAAGUCAACUAGUUCUUUUCAUAGUUCCACGCCAGCUAAUGACAAUAUAAACAAUGUUUUGAGGGAAAUGGUAGAUGCCAAUGCACAAAUAAAUUUAAGGCAACUAGUGCAGGAAUGUAUAUGUAUGGAGAUGAAAAAAGUAUAUGAAGCCAUUGGUAAAUUAGGAGACAUAGUAAAGAAUUUGAAUAUUGGCACGAACGCUUCGAGCAAUCAACCUAACAACGCCUCUUUUUCGUUUCCAAAUCCACCUCCCAUAAUCGAACCCAACAGACAUCCAGAGAUGCAAUCGGAAUAAUAGGAUGUUUGCAACUCCCGGUCCCAAUUUGGAUAGACCAAGUAGAAAUUCAAGCUGAAAUUUGAUGGCAAUCCGUCUAGCAUGUCUGUUGGAUACUUUGUGUUUCCACUCGAAUACCUAAAGAACCAAUACAAGGUGUCAUGGGAAGAAAUCUUUGCCGAGUUCCAGUCUACUCGCUGGAGUGGUACUGGUUACAAAUAGACGUUACAGUACGACUCGAUCGAAUUUUGAAGUCAUGAGCUAGAUAGUCUACAGAAAAUUAAAACCAGGAGAAGAUAUCGAUAAUUUUUCCAAUCCAUAAAUACUUUGAGAUCCAGGUCAACCCAUGUAGUGGGGAGAGCUUAUUCAGAUCGUAGAAAGAAAUUUAAAGGGAUAAAUUUUUAAGAUGAUUUACACAAUGAACAUUAGUUCUAUGGAACAGCUCAGGAUGGAGUGUAUCUUAGCAGAAAAGACAUGCACAAAACGUGAAACAAGAUUCAUGCCUCCUCCUCCGACCCGACACGUUAGGGUAAACGAGCUAAAUACCGAUAUUAAUGAUUAUAACAUAAAUUACUAUGAGGAUGAUCAAGUUCAGGAUGUGUCAUAACUAAAAACCGAUCCAAUCGGUUGAAACUGUGAAAAACAGGUCAUAGGUUUAUGGACCGUUUAUCCUCACAAAGAUCGUUGUUUUGCUACCGAUGUGGUCAACCCAAUACCGUGGCACCAAAGUGCCCUAGGUGCAAGUCGGAAAACUUAUGCCCUGAUCUUGAGCAAUCAUUGUAUUUAGGAAUAGAUUCCAGGAAAGCGUUCCACUUAGCUCCAGACGUAUUAGAAGUAAAUGAACUCGACAUUGCAAAGAUUCAAGCCAAAUAUGCAGAUGAUAAUGAAUUUAAAAAGAAAAACAUAAUCUUAGUGCCGACCAAGAGGAAAAACUUAAUCGAGUGAUGAAGAAAUUUCCUGCGUUUGAAAAAAUGGGUCUUGGUCACACCACACUUGAAUAACACACUAUUAAGAUAGUGGAGGGUACAAAUCCUAUUAAGGAUAAACAUUACCCCAUUUCACCAGCUAUGCAACAAAUUGUUUAUGAAGAAUUGGAUAAGAUGAUAGGGCUGAAGUAAUAGAAGAGAGUGAAAGUGCGUGGAACAAUAGGACGACCAUCGCUAGGAAACCCGGGAAGAACCCAUUUUCUGGUUUUUUUUUUGUUUGGAUGCGCGUAAGUUAAAUGCCGUAACCAUUAAAGACGCGUAUCCAUUACAAAAUAUCGACGGGAUACUAAGUAGAAUUGAUCAGACGGUAUUCAUAAGUAGCGUAGAAUUAAAACAUGCCUUUUGGCAGAUAGAGCUGGAUGAAGAGUCGUGGCCAUAUACGGUUUUUACGGUCCCUGGUCGUCCGCUCUAUCAAUUCAGAAUGAUACCAUUCGGCUUGUGUAAUACCGCACAACGUCUAUGCCGACUUAUGGAUAAGGUCAUACCGGCCCGACUUAAAUCAAACGUAUUCAUAUAUUUGGAUGACUUACUGGUUAUAUCAGAAGAUUUCGAAACUCAUUUGAAAUUAUUAGAACAUGUAGCGGAGUGUCUCAGAAGUGCGAAUCUGACGAUAGGCCUCACCAAGAGUUUAAAGAGUUGAGGUACUUAGGUUUUAUAAUCGGAGGGGGGUCCUAAAAACCGAUCCUGACAAAAUACGAUUAGAAAUCUAAAAAUUUCAAGAAGCCCUAGGGAUAUGAGAAGCUUUUUAGGAACAGCGGGCUGGUACCGCCGUUUUAUCAAAAGUUUUGCAAGUAUUUCCGCCCCCUUGACAGACACUUUGAAAAAAAGUUUUACAUUUACCAUAGCUCAAAAGUCAUAGAGGCUUUCGAGAACUGAAAACAGCGCUGACCACAGCUCCAGUACUUAAGCUUCCAGAUUUUUCAAAAUAAUUUUUUAUACAAUGUGAUUCUUCAGAUUGUGGAAUAGGAGCAGUAUUGUUCCAGAAAGGCGAUAAUGAUGAAGAGUUCCCCAUAGCCUCUUACUCCCAGAAGCUAAACAGUUGCCAAAAGAACUACAGCGUGACUGAAAAGGAGUGUCUGACGGCCGUUAUGGCUGUGAAAAUGUUCAGACCUUAUGUAGAACUAAUGAAAUUCACAGUCAUAACGGAAAUGGCUAAUGGAUGUAAAAGACUUGAGUGGGAGACCCGCCAGAUGGAGUUUAAUGUUGCAGGGGUAUAACUUCGAAAAUGAGCAUCAAAAAGGCAAGGAUAAUGUGGUGGCAGACACGCUAUCCCGCCUUGAAGUCGUCGAGGAAUAUGAUGUGGUCGAUGACUUAUUUCGAAACAACAGAAUUUGAAAGUCCAGAAUAUAAAAAUUUAAUAAAAGAAAUACAGAAAAACCAACAUAAAUUGCCUGAUUAAAAAAUAGAAAACGGUUACAUUUUCAAUGGUUGAAAUGUUUAAGAUCAACCAUAUGCAGACAGCACCCUACUCGCCGCAGUCGAACGCCUCAGAAAGAGUAAACCAGUUCGUACUAGCCGCAAUUCGAGCUUAUUAAGAUGAUGACCAUAGGUAUUGGGAUGUUUACCUAACACAAAUUGAAUGUGCAUUAAGAUCAUCAAUCCAUACAGCCACUGGUGUAACACCCUUUUUCGCUCUUUUCGGAUACGAAAUGUACACCAACGGCAGUGAUUAUAAACUGGCAAAGAAAUUAAAGGACCUAAAGGGAGUGACGGCAGUUUCCUGCAAAAAAAAAAAAAUCAUCCAUUAGGAUGUAAUUGUCAACCAAAAAUUGAUAUUUAACCUUAAAACAAAAUUCUAUGUAUUUCGUGUUGAAAUUGUGUUGUCUUUGUGAAUGUCCUAGAGUUUAAGUGAACUCGACUGUGAGGAUUUUUAACGCCAGGAUUUAAUUACAAUUUGUUUCACGAUUGCAGCAAAAGUUUUGUACAGAAGUUAAAAGGUUAAAUAAUUGGUCACCUUGGCCCAGGAAUAACCAUCUUAAGUGAGCUCUCUUACUGUAGUCCGUUGGUAGUGAAAUUGCGUGAAUAAAAAGCAUUAGAUUCUCUAGUAAACUUUUUAGGAAGAGCUCUUGAAAAAAAUCAUAGUACUUUUCUCGCUAAACUGGUGUUAGAUAUUCCAUAAAAAGAGAGAAAUAUUAGACAUAACAGAAACAAAAUUAGUUUUAAGAAACCUUUUGUAUCAAUAAAUGUUUUUAAUGUUUAAUUAGUAACAUAAAUAUGUGUGAUCUGUUUGUAAGAGGGGGUUUCCCUCGAGGUAAGGUAAUGAGAUGAGUUUGUGUGUCUUGUGGGGUUUCCAGUAAAUUUAAAUAUGGAAAUUUGGAGACCAUGGAAGGGCGGGCGAAUGUGGGAAUAAAGACAUCAAUAUUCCCGUUUGCUUGUAAAUUUUUUUGUGUCGCUUCUUGUUCUCAUUUAAAAAAAAAUAAAUAAAUAUGUUCGCCCUGAGGUGUUAGACAUGGAUGGUUGAGAACCGAGACCCUGAGCCCGCGAGCAAGUCGGAUGGUUCAUUCUAGCCCCGCCACAUUGGGGAAUGUAACAGAUGGCGCCCAAUCUUAAAAAAUAUGUUCAUUUAGAACCGAGAUUAGGAUUUUUUGUGCAAUACCAACUACGUGCAAUAAAAUAGACCAUAGGGAAAGUCAUAGUAAUAAGUAUUAUAGCAAUAUUCUUAGGCCUGACUGAUAUUGAGCCAUGUUUUUCUGUUGAAAACAUGUUAAUGUGCAAUAUUAGUUUUAAGGUAAAAUAGGAUAUUUAGUAUAAUACUUCCGGUCAAUGCAAUAACUUGUAUAACAAUGUAUGUAUUGUGAGUGACCUGUCUUUUGUGUUUUGGUUCCAUUAAGUAGCUGCAACAGUUAGAAUUUUCUACGAAGGGAAAUGGACAAUAUGCAUCCGAAAAAAAGCAGAUGCUGGUUGUGCUUCCAUUUACGAGAUCUUUUUUCGGAACAGAAGGGAAAUUGCCGUAAAGACGAAAGUCGAAAGAAAUAUUAAAAGCACGUGUUUUAUUAGUGUUCGUCUUUAACUGUUUUGAUAACCGAAAUGACAUUCUUUAACAAAAUCUAUAUAUAAUUAUUAGACACACACCUCACAACCCAACGAAAGGAGAACCCCUAUUUGUUGGAAAUUGUUUUGUUUAAAAGUGUUUUUGUUUUGUGACUAGUUUUUUAUAACCUAUAACCUAACUAGAUAACAUUUUUGUAACAUUUAAUUUUGUUUCUUUUUAUUAUUUUUUAUUAAAACAAUUUUAUUGGUGAUUGUAAAAGAAUUCAAAGUUUUCAUUCAAUUAUUGGUGGAAUCAAAAGGCAUUUACCAAUGAGUGAAGAAAACUUAUUUGAAACUAAACGUAGAAGCCAAAGGAACAGCACUUUGUCAUUUGAUGUUAGCAGAUUAUCGGGGCAAACAUUGCCGAAAUAUAGGAAAAGGGAUAAGAUUGGCAAUAUGGUAAAUCCACCUCCUCUUAUUAAUCCAUCCAUACUUGAUAUGUCUCAGACUAUCAGCGCAACUUCUAACCCCAAUUGUAAUACUUCUAAUAUGCUCCCUAAUGGUAAGUCAACUAGUUCUUUUCAUAGUUCUACGCCAGCUAAUGACAAUAUAAACAAUGUUUUGAGGGAAAUGGUAGAUGCCAAUGCACAAAUAAAUUUAAGGCAACUAGUGCAGGAAUGUAUAUGUAUGGAGAUGAAAAAAGUAUAUGAAGCCAUUGGUAAAUUAGGAGACAUAGUAAAGAAUUUGAAUAUUGGCACGAACGCUCCGAGCAAUCAACCUAACAACGCCUCUUUUUCGUUUCCAAAUCCACCUCCCAUAAUCGAACCCAACAGACAUCCAGAGAUGCAAUCGAAAUAAUAGGAUGUUUGCAACUCCCGGUCCCAAUUUGGAUAGACCAAGUAGAAAUUAAAGCUGAAAUUUGAUGGCAAUCCGUCUAGCAUGUCUGUUGGAUACUUUGUGUUUCGACUCGAAUACCUAAAGAACCAAUACAAGGUGUCAUGGGAAGAAAUCUUUGCCGAGUUCCAGUCUACUCGCUGGAGUGGUACUGGUUACAAAUCGACGGUACAGUACGACUCGAUCGAAUUUUGAAGUCAUGAGCUAGAUAGUCUACAGAAAAUUAAAACCAGGAGAAGGUAUCGAUAAUUUUUCCAAUCCAUAAAUACUUUGAGAUCCAGGUCAACCCAUGUAGUGGGGAGAGCUUAUUCAGAUCGUAGAAAGAAAUUUAAAGGGAGAAAUUUUUAAGAUGAUUUACACAAUGAACAUUAGUUCUAUGGAACAGCUCAGGAUGGAGUGUAUCUUAGCAGAAAAGACAUGCACAAAACGUGAAACAAGAUUCAUGCCUCCUCCUCCGACCCGACACGUUAGGGUAAACGAGCUAAAUACCGAUAUUAAUGAUUAUAACAUAAAUUACUAUGAGGAUGAUCAAGUUCAGGAUGUGUCAUAACUAAAAACCGAUCCAAUCGGUUGAAACUGUGAAAAACAGGUCAUAGGUUUAUGGACCGUUUAUCCUCACAAAGAUCGUUGUUUUGCUACCGAUGUGGUCAACCCAAUACCGUGGCACCAAAGUGCCCUAGGUGCAAGUCGGAAAACUUAUGCCCGGAUCUUGAGCAAUCAUUGUAUUUAGGAAUAGAUUCCUGGAAAGCGUUCCACUUAGCUCCAGAUGUAUUAGAAGUAAAUGAACUCGACAUUGCAAAGAUUCAAGCCAAAUAUGCAGAUGAUAAUGAAUUUAAAAAGAAAAACAUAAUCUUAGUGCCGAUCAAGAGGAAAAACUUAAUCGAGUGAUGAAGAAAUUUCCUGCGUUUGAAAAAAUGGGUCUUGGUCACACCACACUUGAAUAACACACUAUUAAGAUAGUGGAGGGUACAAAUCCUAUUAAGGAUAAACAUUACCCCAUUUCACCAGCUAUGCAACAAAUUGUUUAUGAAGAAUUGGAUAAGAUGAUAGGGCUGAAGUAAUAGAAGAGAGUGAAAGUGCGUGGAACAAUAGGACGACCAUCGCUAGGAAACCCGGGAAAAACCCAUUUUUUGUUUUUUUUUUUUGUUUGGAUGCGCGUAAGUUAAAUGCCGUAACCAUUAAAGACGCGUAUCCAUUACAAAAUAUCAACGGGAUACUAAGUAGAAUUGAUCAGACGGUAUUCAUAAGUAGCGUAGAAUUAAAACAUGCCUUUUGGCAGAUAGAGCUGGAUGAAGAGUCGUGGCCAUAUACGGUUUUUACGGUCCCUGGUCGUCCGCUCUAUCAAUUCAGAAUGAUACCAUUCGGCUUGUGUAAUACCGCACAACGUCUAUGCCGACUUAUGGAUAAGGUCAUACCGGCCCGACUUAAAUCAAACGUAUUCAUAUAUUUGGAUGACUUACUGGUUAUAUCAGAAGAUUUCGAAACUCAUUUGAAAUUAUUAGAACAUGUAGCGGAGUGUCUCAGAAGUGCGAAUCUGACGAUAGGCCUCACCAAGAGUAUGUUCUGUUUUAAAGAGUUGAGGUACUUAGGUUUUAUAAUCGGAGGCGGGGUCCUAAAUACCGAUCCUGACAAAAUACGGUUAGAAAUCUAAAAAUUUCAAGAAGCCCUAGGGAUAUGAGAAGCUUUUUAGGAACAGCGGGCUGGUACCGCCGUUUUAUCAAAAGUUUUGCAAGUAUUUCCGCCCCCUUGACAGACGCUUUGAAAAAAAGUAUUACAUUUACCAUAGCUCAAAAGUCAUAGAGGCUUUCGAGAACUGAAAAUAGCGCUGACCACAGCUCCACUACUUAAGCUUCCAGAUUUUUCAAAAUAAUUUUUUAUACAAUGUGAUUCUUCAGAUUGUGGAAUAGGAGCAGUAUUGUUCCAGAAAGGCGAUAAUGAUGAAGAGUUCCCCAUAGCCUCUUACUCCCAGAAGCUAAACAGUUGCCAAAAGAACUACAGCGUGACUGAAAAGGAGUGUCUGACGGCCGUUAUGGCUGUGAAAAUGUUCAGACCUUAUGUAGAACUAAUGAAAUUCACAGUCAUAACGGAAAUGGCUAAUGGAUGUAAAAGACUUGAGUGGGAGACCCGCCAGAUGGAGUUUAAUGUUGCAGGGGUAUAACUUCGAAAAUGAGCAUCAAAAAGGCAAGGAUAAUGUGGUGGCAGACACGCUAUCCCGCCUUGAAGUCGUCGAGGAAUAUGAUGUGGUCGAUGACUUAUUUCGAAACAACAGAAUUUGAAAGUCCAGAAUAUAAAAAUUUAAUAGAAGAAAUACAGAAAAACCAACAUAAAUUGCCUGAUUAAAAAAUAGAAAACGGUUACAUUUUCAAACGCACAAAACCAGAAACUGAAUUGAAUUCUGUUGAACUGCCUUGCAAGCUUUGAAUCCCAGACAGAUUAACCCAUUUGUUAAUCGAAAAGGCACAUGAUGAGCUAACCUCAGCUCAUGGCGGCAUAGCUAAGAUGCUGCACCGCCUGCAAAUAUUUUAUUAUUGGCCGAAAAUGGUAUAACAGGUGAAGCAGUAUAUAUAUUCAACUGCCAAACAUGUAAAGAAACGAAACCUGUCAAUAGAAAUACACGACCGACAAUAGGUUGUGAAGUCGUAACAGAACGCCCAUUUCAAAAAUCUUAUAUGGAUUUUUUAGGUAAAUAUCCACGAUCAAAAUCAGGCAAUAGUUAUGUAUUUAUAGUUGAUGAUCACUUUUCCAAAUUUGUGUUUCUAAAAGCCAUGAAAGAAGCUACCACAUCUAAUUUCGUUCAAUUUUUAGUACAAGAGAUAUGUAGAAAAUUCGGAGUUCCCGAGACCAUUCAUACAGAUUAUGGGGCCCAAUUAACAGCUAAAGGAUUCAAGGAAAUGGUUGAAAUGUCUAAGAUCAA